Paramuricea clavata is the source of this 232-nucleotide non-coding RNA. The record is from the annotation of a GenBank genome assembly. Lineage: Eukaryota; Metazoa; Cnidaria; Anthozoa; Malacalcyonacea; Plexauridae.
CUUUCAUUUCUGAUUUGUAUGUACAAGGUUAUAAUAAAGUGCUAAGCACGCCUCAUCAACUUCCUACAUCACCCCCAAGCAAUUCUGUUGCUGCCCAGCUGCCCUUCCCCUUUACCGACGGAGCGAACGCCUUGAGCAGGCGUCUUGUUAUUAUUAUAAUGGUUUUUUAUCACAUUUUUGCACCAUGACGGUGAAAAACAUUGUAAUGUUUUUAAGUUAAAAUCUUAAUUAG